This 324-nucleotide ribosomal RNA is filed under the name Grzegorzekia collaris. RNAcentral's name for it is "partial 12S ribosomal RNA". Lineage: Eukaryota; Metazoa; Arthropoda; Insecta; Diptera; Mycetophilidae. The record is from RNAcentral.
UAAAACUUAAUAAAUUUGGCGGUAUUUUAAUCUAUUCAGAGGAACUUGUUUUAUAAUUGAUAAUCCUCACUAAAUCUUACUUAAUUUUGUUUAAUUUGUAUAUCGUCGUCAUAAGAAUUUCUUAAAAAAAGAAAAAAUUUUCUAAAAUUUUUAUUAAUAAUUAUGUCAGAUCAAGGUGCAGUUUAUGGUUAAGAAAAAAUGAGUUACAAUAAAUUUAUUUAUACGGGUUUAAAAAUGAAAUUUUUUUAAAUAAGGUGGAUUUGAUAGUAAAAUAAAUAAUUAAAUUUAUUUGAUCUUAGUUCUAAAAUAUGUACAAAUCGCCCG